RNAcentral lists this ribosomal RNA (395 nucleotides) under uncultured bacterium. RNAcentral describes it as "partial 16S ribosomal RNA". It matches the Rfam family "Bacterial small subunit ribosomal RNA", at positions 523 to 918 of the family's 1533-position model. The record is from RNAcentral.
AUACGUAGGGGGCAAGCGUUAUCCGGAAUUACUGGGCGUAAAGGGUGCGUAGGCGGUUUUGUAAGCGCGGGGUGAAAGGCAGAGGCUCAACUUCUGUUAGCCCCGUGAACUGCAUUACUUGAGUACGGGAGAGGAAAGUGGAAUUCCUAGUGUAGCGGUGAAAUGCGUAGAUAUUAGGAGGAACACCAGUGGCGAAGGCGACUUUCUGGACCGCAACUGACGCUGAGGCACGAAAGUGUGGGGAGCAAACAGGAUUAGAUACCCUGGUAGUCCACACCGUAAACGAUGGAUACUAGGUGUGCGGGGACUGACCCCCUGCGUGCCGGAGUUAACACAUUAAGUAUCCCACCUGGGGAGUACGAUCGCAAGAUUGAAACUCAAAUGAAUUGGCGGGG